RNAcentral lists this ribosomal RNA (403 nucleotides) under Fusobacteriota bacterium. Its description in RNAcentral is "Fusobacteria bacterium partial 16S ribosomal RNA". It matches the Rfam family "Bacterial small subunit ribosomal RNA", at positions 355 to 776 of the family's 1533-position model. Lineage: Bacteria; Fusobacteriati; Fusobacteriota. The record is from RNAcentral.
UGGGGAAUAUUGCACAAUGGGGGAAACCCUGAUGCAGCGACGCCGCGUGAGCGAAGAAGGUUUUCGAAUCGUAAAGCUCUGUCCUAUGGGAAGAUAAUGACGGUACCAUAGGAGGAAGCCCCGGCUAACUACGUGCCAGCAGCCGCGGUAAUACGUAGGGGGCAAGCGUUGUCCGGAAUCACUGGGCGUAAAGGGUUCGUAGGCGGAAAUGCAAGUCAGUUGUGAAAGGCAGAGGCUCAACCUCUGUAAGCAAUUGAAACUGUAUUUCUUGAGAUGUGGAGAGGCAAGUGGAAUUCCUAGUGUAGCGGUGAAAUGCGUAGAUAUUAGGAAGAAUACCGGUGGCGAAGGCGACUUGCUGGACACAAACUGACGCUGAGGAACGAAAGCGUGGGUAGCAAACAGG